GCGGUCGUGGUUUAGUGGCAGAACUGUUGCUUCCCAAGCAACGGGCGCGGGUUCGAUUCCCGCCGACCGCA
Molecule: transfer RNA, 71 nt
Filed under: bacterium
Lineage: Bacteria
Description: tRNA-Gly
Rfam family: tRNA
About the family: Transfer RNA (tRNA) molecules are approximately 80 nucleotides in length. Their secondary structure includes four short double-helical elements and three loops (D, anti-codon, and T loops).
Source: RNAcentral